RNAcentral lists this ribosomal RNA (253 nucleotides) under uncultured bacterium. RNAcentral's name for it is "partial 16S ribosomal RNA". It matches the Rfam family "Bacterial small subunit ribosomal RNA", at positions 524 to 776 of the family's 1533-position model. The record is from RNAcentral.
UACGUAGGGGCCUAGCGUUGUCCGGAUUUAUUGGGCGUAAAGAGCUCGUAGGCGGUUCGGUAAGUCAGCUGUGAAAGUCGGGGGCUCAACCCUCGGAUGCCGGUGGAUACUGUCGGGCUUGAGUACGGAAGAGGCGAGUGGAAUUCCUGGUGUAGCGGUGAAAUGCGCAGAUAUCAGGAGGAACACCAAUUGCGAAGGCAGCUCGCUGGGACGUUACUGACGCUGAGACGCGAAAGCGUGGGGAGCAAACAGG